GACGAACGCUGGCGGCGUGCCUAAUACAUGCAAGUUGAGCGCUGAAGGUUGGUACUUGUACCGACUGGAUGAGCAGCGAACGGGUGAGUAACGCGUGGGGAAUCUGCCUUUGAGCGGGGGACAACAUUUGGAAACGAAUGCUAAUACCGCAUAAAAACUUUAAACACAAGUUUUAAGUUUGAAAGAUGCAAUUGCAUCACUCAAAGAUGAUCCCGCGUUGUAUUAGCUAGUUGGUGAGGUAAAGGCUCACCAAGGCGAUGAUACAUAGCCGACCUGAGAGGGUGAUCGGCCACGUUGGGACUGGGACACGGCCCAAAAUCCUUCGGGAGGCAGCAGUGGGGAAUCUUCGGCCAUGGACGAAAGUCUGACCGAGCAACGCCGCGUGAGUGAAGAAGGUUUUCGGAUCGUAAAACUCUGUUGGUAGAGAAGAACGUUGGUGAGAGUGGAAAGCUCAUCAAGUGACGGUAACUACCCAGAAAGGGACGGCUAACUACGUG
This 497-nucleotide ribosomal RNA is filed under the name uncultured bacterium. Its description in RNAcentral is "partial 16S ribosomal RNA". It matches the Rfam family "Bacterial small subunit ribosomal RNA", at positions 28 to 507 of the family's 1533-position model. The record is from RNAcentral.